CAGCCGCCGCGGUAAUACGGAGGGUGCAAGCGUUAAUCGGAAUUACUGGGCGUAAAGCGUGCGUAGGCGGUUCGUUAAGUCUGUUGUGAAAGCCCCUGGCUCAACCUGGGAAUGGCAAUGGAUACUGGCGAGCUAGAGUGUGUCAGAGGAUGGUGGAAUUCCCGGUGUAGCGGUGAAAUGCGUAGAGAUCGGGAGGAACAUCAGUGGCGAAGGCGGCCAUCUGGGACAACACUGACGCUGAGGCACGAAAGCGUGGGGAGCAAACAGGAUUAGAUACCCCAGUAGUCCCUGUCUCUUAUAA
This 301-nucleotide ribosomal RNA is filed under the name uncultured bacterium. RNAcentral describes it as "partial 16S ribosomal RNA". It matches the Rfam family "Bacterial small subunit ribosomal RNA", at positions 509 to 809 of the family's 1533-position model. The record is from RNAcentral.